RNAcentral lists this unclassified non-coding RNA (250 nucleotides) under Hevea brasiliensis (rubber tree). The record is from RNAcentral. Lineage: Eukaryota; Viridiplantae; Streptophyta; Magnoliopsida; Malpighiales; Euphorbiaceae.
UUGUUGCUACUCAAAUCCAGGGUAUCCAAAGAAGAAGAAGAUGCGCCUGAGAUGUUAGGAAAUUGACCUGUAAAUUGGUUGAAAGAAAGCUGAAUCUUCUGCAGUGUGGGAUUGCGAACAAAGAUGAAGGAAUGUCCCCAUUAAGUGAAUUAUACCUCAAGUCGACAUAGGUAAGAUUCAGAAGGCCUGCCCAUUGAGUGGAUGAUAUCUCACCAGACAAUUGAUUGUAAGAAAAAUCUAUAUACAUGAG